Molecule: ribosomal RNA, 433 nt
Filed under: uncultured bacterium
Lineage: Bacteria
Description: partial 16S ribosomal RNA
Rfam family: Bacterial small subunit ribosomal RNA
Source: RNAcentral
AACGAACGCUGGCGGCAUGCCUAACACAUGCAAGUCGAACGAGACCUUCGGGUCUAGUGGCGCACGGGUGCGUAACGCGUGGGAACCUGCCCUUAGGUUCGGAAUAACUCCCCGAAAGGGGUGCUAAUACCGGAUAAUGUCUUCGGACCAAAGAUUUAUCGCCUUUGGAUGGGCCCGCGUUGGAUUAGCUAGUUGGUAGGGUAAAAGCCUACCAAGGCGACGAUCCAUAGCUGGUCUGAGAGGAUGAUCAGCCACACUGGGACUGAGACACGGCCCAGACUCCUACGGGAGGCAGCAGCGGGGAAUAUUGGACAAUGGGCGAAAGCCUGAUCCAGCAAUGCCGCGUGAGUGAUGAAGGCCUUAGGGUUGUAAAGCUCUUUUACCCGGGAUGAUAAUGGCAGUACCGGGAGAAUAAGCUCCGGCUAACUCCGUG